Molecule: ribosomal RNA, 774 nt
Filed under: uncultured Neocallimastigales
Lineage: Eukaryota; Fungi; Neocallimastigomycota; Neocallimastigomycetes; Neocallimastigales
Description: partial large subunit ribosomal RNA
Rfam family: Eukaryotic large subunit ribosomal RNA
Source: RNAcentral
UAUCCUGUAGAGUCUGCAUAUCAAUAAGCGGAGGAAAAGAAACUAACUAGGAUUCCCUCAGUAACGGCGAGUGAAGCGGGAAGAGCUCAAAUUUGAAAUCUUCAAGGUUUUACCUUGACGAAUUGUAGUUUAAAGAAGUGUUUUCUGUUGGAGUUUUGGUAAAAGUUCUUUGGAAUAGGACAUCAUAGAGGGUGAGAAUCCCGUAUUUGACCAUUAUUUCCAGCUUUGUGAUACACUUUCAAAGAGUCGGAUUGUUUGGGAAUGCAGUCCAAAAUGGGUGGUAAAUUUCAUCUAAAGCUAAAUACUGGCGAGAGACCGAUAGCGAACAAGUACCGUGAGGGAAAGAUGAAAAGAACUUUGAAAAGAGAGUUAAACAGUACGUGAAAUCGUCAAAAGGGAAGCGUUUGACACCAGUGUUGUUUUCUCGAAAAUCAAUUAAAAAUGGCGGGAUUUUGUGUUGUAUUGACUUUAUCAGCUUUCUGCACUCUUUUCCUGUCUUUUUUAAUGCACUUUUCGUUUAACAAGUCAACAUCAAUUUCUUUCGUUGUAAAAGAGUCAUUGGAAGGUGGCUUUCUUUUCGGAGAAAGUGUUUAUAGCCUUUGGCCUCUGCAAUCGGAGAGAUUGAGGUCUGCAGCGUAGAUCCCUUCGGGGUUAGAUACAUUUGUGCUAAGUUAUAGCCUUUCAUAGACAACUUGUUGACUAUGAUCAGUCAUGUAGCUUACUCGCUUAUGCUAUUUUACCUACGCUUAGGAUGUUGAGUCAUCACACAUCUCU